Molecule: transfer RNA, 76 nt
Filed under: Oceanicaulis alexandrii
Lineage: Bacteria; Pseudomonadati; Pseudomonadota; Alphaproteobacteria; Maricaulales; Maricaulaceae
Also listed under: 3 other names
Description: tRNA-Thr
Rfam family: tRNA
About the family: Transfer RNA (tRNA) molecules are approximately 80 nucleotides in length.
Source: RNAcentral
GCCGGCUUAGCUCAGCUGGUAGAGCAGCGGUUUUGUAAACCGAAGGUCGGGGGUUCGAUUCCCUCAGCCGGCGCCA